ACAUCAAAAUCAGCAGAGCAGCAUUUGGUGGUAUAGAUGGUUCCACUUUAAAUUACUCCUCUAGACUCUGAGUAUGGUUGACUUAAAUAUAGUCAAGUGACAAUUUAACUAUUAUUUGCCAAAUAUAAUUAAUUACUUGUGCAUUUACAUAUGAAAUAUAAUUUCCUUCUAUGGCCCAAAGGAUAUACUCGGUGGGAAAAGGUCAAAUUGGUUUCCACUAAAACCCCGUUCUCAAGUGCCUGUCUACAUUGAGAAUGAGCAGUCCCAGUCAAUCAUUUGUGACUACAUCAGAGGAAUUCUUAAUAAAACCAAAACACAGCUGACCUUCAAUGAUGAGGUGGAGUUCAUUUGUGGAUUUCUUCUCCCAGAGGCCAUAACUCAUGGCAUUUCCGAGUUACAAGGCUUGUCUUGGCAGGAGGCUGAAGAUGUCUUCCUCCAGGGCCCCAUUUAUCACGCAAGUGAAGUUGAGGAAUUUAACA
Non-coding RNA from Danio rerio (zebrafish), 479 nucleotides. Lineage: Eukaryota; Metazoa; Chordata; Actinopteri; Cypriniformes; Danionidae. The record is from RefSeq and is a predicted model, not a curated record.